GUAGCUUGGGGGUCGGGGCCUAUUCUGGGGUCGAGCGGAUGAGAGGGGGGGGGGGACCUCRAUUCAGCGGSGGACGGSCGCAUAAGCCUAGGAAUCUGCCUAGUAGUGGGGGACAACGUUUCGAAGGAACGCUAAUACCGCAUACGUCCUACGGGAGAAGUGGGGGAUCUUCGGACCUCACGCUAUUAGAUGAGCCUAGGUCGGAUUACUAGUUGGAGGGUAAAGGCCUACCUGGCGACGAUCCGUAACUGGUCUGAGAGGAUGAUCAGUCACACUGGAACUGAGACACGGUCCAGACUCCUACGGGAGGC
Molecule: ribosomal RNA, 311 nt
Filed under: Pseudomonas aeruginosa
Lineage: Bacteria; Pseudomonadati; Pseudomonadota; Gammaproteobacteria; Pseudomonadales; Pseudomonadaceae
Description: partial 16S ribosomal RNA
Source: RNAcentral